This 253-nucleotide ribosomal RNA is filed under the name uncultured bacterium. RNAcentral's name for it is "partial 16S ribosomal RNA". It matches the Rfam family "Bacterial small subunit ribosomal RNA", at positions 524 to 776 of the family's 1533-position model. The record is from RNAcentral.
UACGUAGGGUGCAAGCGUUAAUCGGAAUUACUGGGCGUAAAGGGAGCGUAGGCGGCGCGGUAAGUCAGAUGUGAAAUCCCGGGGCUCAACCCCGGAACUGCAUCCGAUACUGCCGUGCUAGAGGAUUGGAGAGGUAGCUGGAAUUCUUGGUGUAGCGGUGAAAUGCGUAGAUAUCAAGAGGAACACCUGAGGUGAAGACGGGUUGCUGGGCUGACACUGACGCUGAGGCGCGAAAGCCAGGGGAGCAAACGGG